GACGAACGCUGGCGGCGUGCCUAAUACAUGCAAGUAGAACGCUGAAGGAGGAGCUUGCUUCUCUGGAUGAGUUGCGAACGGGUGAGUAACGCGUAGGUAACCUGCCUGGUAGCGGGGGAUAACUAUUGGAAACGAUAGCUAAUACCGCAUAAUAGCAGUUGUUGCAUGACAACUGUUUGAAAGGUGCAAUUGCACCACUACCAGAUGGACCUGCGUUGUAUUAGCUAGUUGGUGGGGUAACGGCUCACCAAGGCGACGAUACAUAGCCGACCUGAGAGGGUGGUCGGCCACACUGGGACUGAGACACGGCCCAGACUCCUACGGGAGGCAGCAGUAGGGAAUCGUCGGCAAUGGACGGAAGUCUGACCGAGCAACGCCGCGUGAGUGAAGAAGGUUUUCGGAUCGGAAAGCUCUGUUGUAAGAGAAGAACGAGGGUGAGAGUGGAAAGUUCACACUGUGACGGUAUCUGACCAGAAAGAGACGGCUAACUACGUG
Molecule: ribosomal RNA, 495 nt
Filed under: uncultured bacterium
Lineage: Bacteria
Description: partial 16S ribosomal RNA
Rfam family: Bacterial small subunit ribosomal RNA
Source: RNAcentral